AAGACUGGAUACUUUGCAACACUGCUGUAAGCAUCUGACCAGAAAAAAGCAGCCUGAUACUGGUGGAAGUUUGCCAGGUUUUGGAGUGGCUGAUAAACUGUAUACGGCGCCGAUGAUUUUUCAGCAGUGAGGUUGCAGCAAAAUAUGAAAAAAGGCUUCUUAGGUUCUAGCAAUUUGGUGGCAGCCGCUGAAGUGUUGUAUAUCAGGUUUAAGCCUUCUUUGCUGCAGUUGGAAUGAUGCAAGCAGACUUACUGCACUGGAAAAUGGAGCUUGUAUUUUUAUGCAUGGAUACAGAAGGGAUCAAGAAAACUGUGUUCGUUAAAGGGUAAAGGAAUUGGUCAAGGUGGAAUCGGAAGUCGUUUUCUGAGGGGCCUAAGCAUACAGCAUCUGUGGUACAAAAAGAUUCUGAAGUCCCUGGCUUAAGUGGAAGUUUGUCCAGAGCUGACCUUAACUAAAGAUAACCUGACUUGAACACAUGCAGACCAUGUUGCAUAGCUCCAAGGUAAGGCCGGGGCCUAAUUUGUUUGAAUUCCUUAAAGGGAGGGGUUACAAAGCAGAGUGAACAAAGCUUGUAAAGCAGAAAACUCAA
Pelodiscus sinensis (Chinese soft-shelled turtle) is the source of this 589-nucleotide non-coding RNA. NCBI's taxonomy places the organism in Eukaryota, Metazoa, Chordata, Testudines, Trionychidae. The record is from RefSeq and is a predicted model, not a curated record.